RNAcentral lists this ribosomal RNA (286 nucleotides) under uncultured Bacteroides sp. RNAcentral's name for it is "partial 16S ribosomal RNA". It matches the Rfam family "Bacterial small subunit ribosomal RNA", at positions 55 to 339 of the family's 1533-position model. The record is from RNAcentral. Lineage: Bacteria; Pseudomonadati; Bacteroidota; Bacteroidia; Bacteroidales; Bacteroidaceae.
AUGCAAGUCGAGGGGCAGCAUUUUAGUUUGCUUGCAAACUGAAGAUGGCGACCGGCGCACGGGUGAGUAACACGUAUCCAACCUGCCGAUAACUCCGGAAUAGCCUUUCGAAAGAAAGAUUAAUACCGGAUAGUAUACGAAUAUCGCAUGAUUAAAGGUAUUCCGGUAGACGAUGGGGAUGCGUUCCAUUAGAUAGUAGGCGGGGUAACGGCCCACCUAGUCUUCGAUGGAUAGGGGUUCUGAGAGGAAGGUCCCCACAUUGGAACUGAGACACGGUCCAAACUCC